This 497-nucleotide ribosomal RNA is filed under the name uncultured bacterium. Its description in RNAcentral is "partial 16S ribosomal RNA". It matches the Rfam family "Bacterial small subunit ribosomal RNA", at positions 28 to 507 of the family's 1533-position model. The record is from RNAcentral.
GAUGAACGCUGGCGGCGUGCCUAAUACAUGCAAGUCGAGCGAACAGAUAAGGAGCUUGCUCCUUUGACGUUAGCGGCGGACGGGUGAGUAACACGUGGGUAACCUACCUAUAAGACUGGGAUAACUUCGGGAAACCGGAGCUAAUACCGGAUAACAUUUGGAACCGCAUGGUUCUAAAGUGAAAGAUGGUUUUGCUAUCACUUAUAGAUGGACCCGCGCCGUAUUAGCUAGUUGGUAAGGUAACGGCUUACCAAGGCGACGAUACGUAGCCGACCUGAGAGGGUGAUCGGCCACACUGGAACUGAGACACGGUCCAGACUCCUACGGGAGGCAGCAGUAGGGAAUCGUCCGCAAUGGGCGAAAGCCUGACGGAGCAACGCCGCGUGAGUGAUGAAGGGUUUCGGCUCGUAAAACUCUGUUAUUAGGGAAGAACAAAUGUGUAAGUAACUGUGCACGUCUUGACGGUACCUAAUCAGAAAGCCACGGCUAACUACGUG